CCUAAUACAUGCAAGUCGAACGGGAAGCCCCUUCGGGUGGUGGAGAGUGGCGCACGGGUGAGUAACGCGUGGGAACCUAUCCUUUUGUGGGGGAUAACCUUUGGAAACGAAGGCUAAUACCGCAUACGCUCCUUUGUCGUGGUGGCAGGGGAGGAAAGAUUUAUCGCUUAAGGGUGGGCCCGCGUUCGAUUAGCUGGUUGGUGAGGUAACGGCUCACCAAGGCGACGAUCGAUAGCUGGUCUGAGAGGAUGAUCAGCCACACUGGGACUGAGACACGGCCCAGACUUCUACGGAAGGCAGCAGUAGGGAAUAUUGGACAAUGGGGGAAACCCUGAUCCAGCAACGCCGCGUGGAGGACGAAGGCUUUCGGGUCGUAAACUCCUGUCAGUUGGGACGAAAAGGUGUCGGAGAAAUACCCGGCAUCCAUGACGGUACCUUCAGAGGAAGCCCCGGCUAACUCCGUGCCAGCAGCCGCGGUAAU
RNAcentral lists this ribosomal RNA (481 nucleotides) under uncultured bacterium. RNAcentral describes it as "bacterial SSU rRNA". It matches the Rfam family "Bacterial small subunit ribosomal RNA", at positions 47 to 524 of the family's 1533-position model. The record is from RNAcentral.